Molecule: ribosomal RNA, 426 nt
Filed under: uncultured bacterium
Lineage: Bacteria
Description: bacterial SSU rRNA
Rfam family: Bacterial small subunit ribosomal RNA
Source: RNAcentral
GUCGGGAAUAUUGCGCAAUGGAGGGAACUCUGACGCAGUGACGCCGCGUAUAGGAAGAAGGUUUUCGGAUUGUAAACUAUUGUCGUUAGGGAAGAAAAAAGACAGUACCUAAGGAGGAAGCCCCGGCUAACUAUGUGCCAGCAGCCGCGGUAAUACGUAGGGAGCGAGCGUUGUCCGGAAUUACUGGGUGUAAAGGGUGCGUAGGCGGCCUUGUGGGUCAGGCGUGAAAUACAUGGGCUUAACCCAUGGACUGCGCUUGAAACUAUAAGGCUUGAGUGAAGUAGAGGCAGGCGGAAUUCCCGGUGUAGCGGUGAAAUGCGUAGAGAUCGGGAGGAACACCAGUGGCGAAGGCGACCUGCUGGGCUUUAACUGACGCUGAGGCACGAAAGCAUGGGUAGCAAACAGGAUUAGAUACCCUUGUAGUCC